This is a non-coding RNA of Arachis ipaensis, 652 nucleotides long. Lineage: Eukaryota; Viridiplantae; Streptophyta; Magnoliopsida; Fabales; Fabaceae. The record is from RefSeq and is a predicted model, not a curated record.
UAGGAAUGUCAUUUUAAAAAAUGAAUACCAAUCUUCAAAGCUAUGUGAGGCACUGUACACCAAUUGCGAGGACAUGAUGGAUCGGCUUCAGAUGUUGGGGAAAUCUAAGUCUCAAUUUAUAAAGGAUUAUAACCAAAGGCUUUUUAAUUGGUUGGUGGCCUUCUCCCUCGUCAUGAUCGUGAUUGGCCGCUUUAUUAUAAAGUUCAUUUUGAUCGAAAUGGGAGCAUGGUUACUUUUUAUAUUUCUUGAGACCUACACAAGGAUGUUUUGAUCAGCAGAAUCACUGUACUAUAAUCCAGUUUCACAUUUUAUAGUUGCAGCACCACACCAUGUAUAUUCAGCACCACACCUAUACUUAAUUAUCUAUAUAUUCAGUACUAACCUACAUGUUUGUGUUGGUGCAGUGGCGAGCCAUGACUCUGCCUGAUAGAUACAUUGAGCAUGGAUCUCAGAAGGAUCAAAUUCAAGCAGCAGGGUUGAGUUCAAACCAUAUUGUAGCUACUGCUUUGUCAUUAACCAAUGUUCAACGAAACAAUCGUUUGCUUCUCAACAUGCAAAUAUGAACCUUAUUAUUAAUAGGAUUUCAAAUGUAAAUAAAUAUAUAACGCUAAUAAAUUAAAGCUCUGCCAAAGAUUUGUUAUUAGACCGUGUU